This is a long non-coding RNA of Dreissena polymorpha, 5108 nucleotides long. RefSeq lists it as uncharacterized. The record is from RefSeq and is a predicted model, not a curated record. The transcript is spliced from 2 exons. Lineage: Eukaryota; Metazoa; Mollusca; Bivalvia; Myida; Dreissenidae.
AUUGCCUUUUGUCCGUUGUGCGUUGUAUGUCGUCAACAUUUUGCCUUGUGAACACUCUAGAUGCCACAUUUAUUGUCUGAUCUUCAUGAAAUUUUGCAGAACAUUUGUCACAUUGAUACCUCGACUGAGUUCGAAACUGGGUCAUGCUGGGUCAAAAAUUAGGUCACUAGGUCAAAAAAACAACAAAAAAACUUGUGAACACUGUAGAAGUCCAAUCUUCAUGUAACUUUGUCAAAAUGUUUGUCUAAAUGAUAUUUUGGUUUAGUUAAAAAUUGGUUCCGGUCCGUUGAAAAACAUGGCCGCCAGGGGCGGGGGCAUUUUCCUUAUGUCUUUAGUUAAACAUUGCUAACACUCUAGAGGCCACAUUUAUUGUCCAUUCUUCAUGAAAUUUGGUCAGAAGUUUGGUCUCAAUGAUAUCUUAGACGAGCUGAAAAUGGUUACGUUUGCUUGAAAAACAUGGCUGCCAAAGGGCGGGGCAUUUUUCCUUAUAUGGCUAUAUAUGGCUAUAGUAAAAUCUUGUUAACACUCUUGAGGCCACAUUUAUUUUCCGAUCUUCAUGAAACUUGGUCAGAAUAUUCAUCCCAAAAAAUAUCGUAGACAAGUUAAAAAAUGAUGCUGGUUGGUUGAAAAACAUGUCCGCCAGGGGGUGGGGCAUUUUACCUUAUAUGGCUAUAGUAAAACUUUGUUAACACUCUAUAGGCCACAUUUAUUUUCUUAUCUUCAUGAAACUUGGUCAGAAGAUUUGUCCUAAUGAUAUCUUGGAUUAGUUCAAAAAUAGUUUCGUUUGCUUAAAAAACAUGGCCACCAGGGGGCGGGGCAUUUUUCCUAAUAUGGUUAUGUAUCAUGCUUUACUAAAACAUUGUAAACACUCUGUAGGCCACAUUUAUUUUCCGAUUAUUAUGAAACUUGGUCAGAUGAUUUGUCCUAAUGAUAUCUUGGAUGAGUUCAAAAAUGGUUCUAGUUGGUGGAAAAACAUGGCCACUAAGGGGGCGUGGUAUUUUUCCUUAUAUGGCUAAAGUAAAACCCUGUUAAAACUCUAGAAGCCAUAUUUAUUGUACGAUCAUCAUGACACUUUGUCAGAAGAUUUGUCCCAAUGAUAUUUGGACAAGUUUGAAAUUGGUUCCAGUUGCUAAGAAAAACAUGGCCACCAGUGGGCGGGGCAUUUUUCCUUAUAUGGACUUAUGAAUCUUCUUGAAACUUUGUCAGUAUAUUAGUUUAAAUGAUAUCUUGGAUGUGUUUUUCACGUUGACAUUUGAAGCUUUAACUUUGUAUGAUUCUAAAUAUGUGUCAAUGCUGUCAGUUGAAUUUUGAAAUAUGAAGUUUUACAUUUUUUGUAGAUUAAAUAAUUUGUAAAAUGUUGCAGUUUCGUCAAUCAGUUUUAUAAGAUAUUGAGCUUUAGUUAUGAUGCAGAUUGUAAGAUUCUUAAUAUCUUUCAAUAUUGUGGAUAAGUUUUUGAGAUAUCAAGCUUUGAGUUUUAUGCAAAUUGUAUGAUUUUAAAAUGUUUUAAUGGUGUUGAUCAGUGUAAUGAAGAUUGCAUAAUUUUUAUGUUUUAAUUCUGUCUAUUGGUUUUCAAAAUGAAAGACUUUGAUUUUGUAAGUGCACUUUUAUCUCCUGAAAGAUUCUUUUCUAGUGUUUAGUUUAUAUUUUAAGGCUGUUUGCAAACUCGAAGUGAAAACAGUUCUAUUACAAUUUGGUAAGGACAUGACAUUGCAUAUCUGAUUUUAAAAUGUACUUUGCUGGCAACGUGUAAUUUUCUGAAAUGUCUUAGUAAGACUGUUGUUUGCAAUCAAAAGGUCUGUGCUUCAAAUACAGGGUAAUGCAUGUUUUUUUGUCCAAAUUUAUGGCGAUUCAGACAUUGUUCUAUGUAAAUUUGGGGUUUGCUUGAAGGUUCAGUCUAUUUUUAUGUCCCUCACUAUAGUAGUGGGGGACAUAUUGUUUUUGUCCUGUCUGUUGGUUGGUUGGUUGAUCUGUUUACGCCAACUUUAACAUUUGCAAUAACUUUUGCAAUAUUGAAGAUAGCAACUUGAUAUUUGGCAUGCAUAUGUAUCUCAUAGAGCUGCACAUUUUAAUUUUCUGAAAGGUCAAGGUCAGAGGUCAAAUAUAUGUGGCCAAAAUCGCUCAUUUUAUGAAUACUUUUGCAAUAUUGAAGAUAGCAACUUCAUAUUUGGCAAGCAUGUGUAUCUCAUGGAGCUGCACAUUUUGAGUGGUGAAAGGUCAAGGUCAUAAUUCAAUGUCAUAGGUCGAAUAUAUGGCUUCAAAGCGGCGCAGUAAGGGGGAUUGUGUUUUACGAACACAGCUCUUGUUGUUAACUGCCUUUUUAGUCCCUUACCAGUGUUUCACUAAAGUCCGUGUACUUUGGACUCAUUUCAAGUUGACAUUUGAAGCUUUAACUUUGUAUGAUUCUAAAUAUGUGUCAAUGCUGUCGGUUGAAUUUUGAAAUAUGAAGUUUUUCAUUUUUUGUAGAUUAAAUAAUUUGUAAAAUGUUGCAGUUUAGUCAAUCAGUUUUAUAAGAUAUUGAGCUUUAGUUAUGAUGCAGAUUGUAAGAUUCUUAAUAUCUUUCAAUAUUGUGGAUAAGUUUUUGAGUUAUCAAGCUUUGAAUUUUAUGCAAAUUGUAUGAUUUAAAAUGUUUUAAUUUGUUGAUCAGUGUACUGAAGAUUGUAUACUUUUUAUAUGUUAUAAUUCUGUCUAUUGGUUUUCAAAAUGAAAGACUUUGAUUUUGUAAGUGCACUUUUAUCUCAUUAUGCCCCCCUUCGAAGAAGAGGGGGUAUAUUGCUUUGCUCAUGUCGGUCGGUCUGUCGGUAUGUCAGUUUGUCGGUCCGUCCACCAGGUGGUUGUCAGACGAUAACUCAAGAACGCUUGGGCCUAGGAUCAUGAAACUCCAUAGGUACAUUGAUCAUGACUCGCAGAUGAUCCCUAUUGAUUUUGAGGUCAAAGGUCAAGGUCACGGUGACCCAAAAUAGUAAAAUGGUUUCCGGAUGAUAACUCAAAAAUUCAUACGCCUAGGAUCAUGAAACUUCAUGGCUAGAUUGAUCAUGACUUGCAGAUGACCCCUAUUGAUUUUGAGGUCACUAGGUCAAAGGUCAAGGUCACGGUGACCCGAAAUAGUAAAAUGGUUUUCAGAUGAUAACUCAAGAACGCAUAUGCCUAGGAUCAUGAAACUUCACAGGUAGAUUGAUCAUGACUCACAGAUGACCCUUAUUGAUUUUGAGGUCACAAGGUCAAGGUCACGGUGACCCGAAAUAGUAAAAUGAUUUUCGGAUGAUAACUCAAGAACGCUUUUGCCUAGGAUCAUGACACUUCAUAGGUACAUUGAUCGUGACUCACAGAUGACCCCUAUUGAUUUUCAGGUCACUAGGUCAAAGGUCAAGGUCACAGUGACAAAAAACGUAUUCACACAAUGGCUGCCACUACAACGGACAGCCCAUAUGGGGGGCAUGCUUGUUUUACAAACAGCCCUUGUUAAAGAUUCUUUUCUAGUGUUUAGUUUAUAUUUUAAGGCUGUUUGCAAACUCGAAGUGAAAACAGCUCUAGUACAAUUUGGUAAGGACAUGACAUUGCAUAUCUGAUUUAAAAAUGUACUUUGCUGGCAACGUGUAAUUUUCAGAAAUGUCUUAGUAAGUAAGACUGUUGUUUGCAAUCAAAAGGUCUGUGCUUCAAAUCCAGGAAAAUGCAUGUUUUUUGUCCAAAUUUAUGUCAAUUCAGACAUUGUUCUGUGUAAAUAUGGGGUUUGCUUGUAGGAUCAGUCUAUUUUUAUGUCCCCCACUAUAGUAGUGGGGGACAUGUUGUUUUUGCUCUGUCGGUCUGUUGAUUGGUUGGUUGGUCUGUUUAUGCCAACUUUAACAUUUUGCAAUAUUGAAAGUAGCAACUUGAUAUUUGGCAUGCAAAUGCAUCUCCUGAAGCUGCACAUUAUCAUUGGUGAAAGGUCAAGGUCAUCCUUCAAGGUCAGAGGUCAAAUAUAUGUGGCCAAAAUCGCUCAUUUUAUGAAUUCUUUUGCAAUAUUGAAGAUAGCAACUUGAUAUUUGCCAAGCAUGUGUAUCUCAUUGAGCUGCACAUUUUGAGUGGUGAAAGGUCAAGGUCAUCCUUCAAGGUCAGAGGUCAAAUAUAUGUGGCCCAAAUCGCUUAUUUUAUUAAUACUUUUGCAAUAUUGAAGAUAGCAACUUGAAAUUUGGCAUGCAUGUGUAUCUCAUGGAGCUGCAAAUUUUGAGUGUUGAAAGGUCAAAGUCAUCCUUCAAGGUCAGAGGUUAAAUAUAUGUGGCCCAAAUCGCUUAUUUUAUGAAUACGUUUGCACUAUUGAAGAUAGCAACUUGAUAUUUGGCAUGCAUAUGUAUCUCAUAGAGCUGCACAUUUUGAGUGGUGAAAGGUCAAGGUCAUCCUUCAAGGUCAAAUAUAUGGGUCAAAAUUGCUCAUGUUAUGUUACUUCUGCAAUAUUGAAGCUAGCAAUUUUAUAUUUGACAUGCAUGUGUAUCUCAUGGAGCUGCACAUUUUGAGUGGUGAAGGGUCAAGGUCAUCCUUCAAGGUCAAACGUUAUAUACGGGGCAUUGGGUUUCACAAACGCAUCUUGUUGUGUAUGUAAUUAAUUUUGCUUAAUUUUUGUGAUCCCCCGCCAACAGCGGAGGGAUAUUAAUUUGGCAUUGUCCGUCUUUCCGUCUGUCCGUCCGGCACUUUUGUGUCCGGAACCAUAUCUUGGAAGUGCUUUAGCAGAUUUCAUUGAAACUUGGUACGAGUAUAUAUAUAUGGAUAAGAGGAUGAUGCACGCCAAAUGGCAUUGUACAUCCUUGAUUAAUAGCGGAGUUAUGACCCUUUGUAUUUGAAAAAAAUGCUUUUUUGUGUGUCCAGAGCCAUAACUUGUAUCCAGAAGUAUAAUGGCGGGGGAUAUCAAUUCAACGAAUUUGCUUGUUAAAUCAGUUUUUAUUUUCAUGAUAAUCAUUUAGUUCGUACUGCAACUUAUGAUGGAUUGUUACUACUAUCUCCAAUUAUUUGUUUGUCAUGGGUCCGUCACCAUUUAUCUCUUAUAUAAUACUUGAAUUGAGCAUUUCACAAUCUGACAAUCAUGCAUAUCAUUUAUUAGUUUCAUAAUAAAACGUCUGACAAGGGUCAGAUAAUUUUAA